This 22-nucleotide microRNA is filed under the name Callorhinchus milii (elephant shark). RNAcentral's name for it is "Cmi-Mir-153-P1_5p* (star (passenger))". Lineage: Eukaryota; Metazoa; Chordata; Chondrichthyes; Chimaeriformes; Callorhinchidae. The record is from RNAcentral. RNAcentral also lists the same sequence under 11 other names.
UCAUUUUUGUGAUGUUGCAGCU